Molecule: unclassified non-coding RNA, 284 nt
Organism: Erinaceus europaeus (western European hedgehog)
Lineage: Eukaryota; Metazoa; Chordata; Mammalia; Eulipotyphla; Erinaceidae
Gene: 7SK
Rfam family: 7SK RNA
About the family: 7SK was discovered as an abundant small nuclear RNA in the mid-70s but a possible function has only recently been suggested.
Source: Ensembl
GGAUGUGAGGGCGAUCUGGCUGCGACAUCUGUCACCCCAUUGAUUGCCCGCGUUGAUUCGGCUGAUCUGGCUGACUAGGUGGGUGUCCCCUUUCUCCCUCAUUGCUCCAUGUGCGUCCCUCCCGAAGCUGUGCGCUAUGUCAAAGAGGACGGCCUUCGCCGAAUAGAGAUGGACCGGUCUUCCGUGGAGGGUAUACGUGUAGUUGCGCUCCCCUGCUAGAACCUCCAAACAAGCUCUCAAGAAAACCAAGAGGAAAUGGCAACUAUAGAACAGAGGCUGCUUAU